AUUGAACGCUGGCGGCAGGCCUAACACAUGCAAGUCGAAUGGUAACAGGAAACAGCUUGCUGUUUCGCUGACGAGUGGCGGACGGGUGAGUAAUGUCUGGGAAACUGCCUGAUGGAGGGGGAUAACUACUGGAAACGGUAGCUAAUACCGCAUAACGUCGCAAGACCAAAGAGGGGGACCUUCGGGCCUCUUGCCAUCAGAUGUGCCCAGAUGGGAUUAGCUAGUAGGUGGGGUAACGGCUCACCUAGGCGACGAUCCCUAGCUGGUCUGAGAGGAUGACGAGCCACACUGGAACUGGGACACGGUCCAGACUCCUACGGGAGGCAGCAGUGGGGAAUAUUGCACAAUGGGCGCAAGCCUGAUGCAGCCAUGCCGCGUGUAUGAAGAAGGCCUUCGGGUUGUAAAGUACUUUCAGCGGGGAGGAAGGGAGUAAAGUUAAUACCUUUGCUCAUUGACGUUACCCGCAGAAGAAGCACCGGCUAACUCCGUG
This 490-nucleotide ribosomal RNA is filed under the name uncultured bacterium. RNAcentral's name for it is "partial 16S ribosomal RNA". It matches the Rfam family "Bacterial small subunit ribosomal RNA", at positions 30 to 507 of the family's 1533-position model. The record is from RNAcentral.